AACGAACGCUGGCGGCAGGCCUAACACAUGCAAGUCGAGCGCGCCUUCGGGCGAGCGGCGGACGGGUUAGUAACGCGUGGGAACGUGCCCAGAUCUACGGAAUAGCCACUGGAAACGGUGAGUAAUACCGUAUACGCCCUUCGGGGGAAAGAUUUAUCGGAUUUGGAUCGGCCCGCGUUAGAUUAGGUAGUUGGUGGGGUAACGGCCUACCAAGCCUACGAUCUAUAGCUGGUUUUAGAGGAUGAUCAGCAACACUGGGACUGAGACACGGCCCAGACUCCUACGGGAGGCAGCAGUGGGGAAUCUUGGACAAUGGGGGCAACCCUGAUCCAGCCAUGCCGCGUGAGUGAAGAAGGCCCUAGGGUCGUAAAACUCUUUCGCCUGUGAUGAUAAUGACAGUAGCAGGUAAAGAAACCCCGGCUAACUCCGUGCCAGCAGCCGCGGUAAUACGGAGGGGGUUAGCGUUGUUCGGAAUUACUGGGCGUAAAGCGCACGUAGGCGGAUUAGAAAGUUAGAGGUGAAAUCCCGGGGCUCAACCCCGGAACUGCCUUUAAAACUACUAGUCUAGAGUUCGAGAGAGGUGAGUGGAAUUCCGAGUGUAGAGGUGAAAUUCGUAGAUAUUCGGAGGAACACCAGUGGCGAAGGCGGCUCACUGGCUCGAUACUGACGCUGAGGUGCGAAAGUGUGGGGAGCAAACAGGAUUAGAUACCCUGGUAGUCCACACCGUAAACGAUGAAUGCCAGUCGUCGGGUAGUAUACUAUUCGGUGACACACCUAACGGAUUAAGCAUUCCGCCUGGGGAGUACGGUCGCAAGAUUA
This 819-nucleotide ribosomal RNA is filed under the name uncultured marine bacterium. RNAcentral describes it as "bacterial SSU rRNA". It matches the Rfam family "Bacterial small subunit ribosomal RNA", at positions 28 to 896 of the family's 1533-position model. The record is from RNAcentral.